GAGUCUCGCUCUGUCGCCCAGGCUAGAGUGCAGUGGCUCAAUCUCAGCUCACUGCAAGCUCUGCCUCCUAGGUUCAUGCCAUUCUCCUGCCUCAGCCUCCCGAGUAGCUGGGACUAUAGGUGCCCGCCACCACGCUUGGCUAAUUUUCUGUAUUUUUAGUACAGACAGGGUUUCACCUGUGAGCCAGGACGGUCUCUAUCUCCUGACCUCAUGAUCCACCCACCUUGGCCUCCCAGAGUGCCCUUUUCUGUUCUGAUUGCUAAUGCAGGUAAGGAGACCAGCCCAAAGGCCUGUGUCUGGGUGACAGCCCACGAGGUGCCUCCCAUGCUAAUUCUUUUGAUACUGACGUUACUUUGUCCAUCCACCUCACGAAAUGGCUGGUGGUAUCUGGAGGCCAGGGAGGCAUUAUGCUUUGCCACCCUGUGCCUUCCCAUUUGCACCCUCUACAUGAGCAAUGUUCAGCUCAAAACCAAGUUAAAUUAAUCUGAAGAAUGCAGGGUCUUCAAAAACUGUGUUCUCCCGAUUUAAAGUGUGUGUAUGUACACACACUUAGCUCAUAAUCUUAAAUGAUUUAUCACAGUGACCAAAUACCAUCUAUUGUUAGGAAAAAUGCUUGCUUGCUUCUCAAGAUUGAGCUGGCUUCUGACUAUUCACAGAUGCUCUUCAUGUGUUAACUACUCAAUCUGAGGGGACUCACUGGACCAGGCCUGGAAUGAAACCUUCCCCCUCCUGGUUUUUGUCCACGAACUCCUAGUUCAGAAUGAACACUUAGGACUACACGUUCUCCUCUCAGAAGAAACACAGACCACCUGCCCAUUCCCACCAAACAAACCUCCUCAGAAAUCAACCUCCAAGCUUCCAGCAUGUGUUCCUUUGUCAAACCUUCAACAAUGUAAACAUCAUUAAUUUGCAUUUAAUGACUUUGGGACAUAAAAAUUGUUCUAUCCCUUCUCUCUUACUUAGACUAGGUGUAUGCUGCGUGAGCUAAUAAAUUCAGGCCUCCAGGUUACCUUAAAGUAUUUUUAACACAAGUUAACUAGUUCUUCGUUUGAAUUCUCCACUAUAUUUUGCUGGGUAACCUUUGCUCCUACUGCAGGGGGUGAGCUGUUAUUUAUUUAUUUAUUUUGAGACAGAGUCUCACUCUGUCGCCAGGCUGGAGUGCAGUGGCGCGAUCGCAGCUCACUGCAACCUCUGCCUCCCAGGUUCAAGCGAUUCUCCUGCUCCAGCCUCCCAAGCAGCGGGGACUACAGGCGCACACCACCAUGCCCAGCUAAGUUUUGUAUUUUUAGUAGAGACAGGGUUUCACCAUGUUGGCCAGGAUGGUCUUGAGGUCUUGAUCUCUUGACCUCAUGAUCCGCCUGCCUCAGCCUCCCAAAAUGCAGGCGUGAGCCACUGCACCUGGCCAAAUCUGCUGUUAUUUAAUGAGAAGCUAAAAGUGAAAAAUGGUUUUCGGACCUUGCUAUUCACAUUGCAGCUUCUAACAUUAACAAUGAUAACAGCAAGAUUCAGAAAUUAAAGUUGUAAAAAAUUCAAUAAGCCAAGCAAAUAGAUACUUUCUAGCCAAUUUUAAAAUUACUUCAUUUUUUGAUCUUAAGGAACCAUAUUAAAUUCAGGAUAAUGCAGCUAUUUUAAAAAGAAGAUAAAAAUCACACAUAAUGCUGGUGAUUAUGAGUUUCACAUUUUUGUCUUUUUUUCUGGAAACAGUCAACAUUCACUUCGUGACUCAGCAAAAGACAGAUUUAUCAUAUUUCACUAAGUUCCAACCUGGGUAUCAAUUUUAACUAAAGUUAAUUAAAAAUCCAGAAGAAUGCCUAUUUGAAAUCACUAACUGCUGUGUGUGUGUGUUUGUGUGUGUGUGUGUGUGUGUGUGUGUGUGUGUGUGAAGAGAUAACUGGAAGGAUGAUCCUAGAAGAUGUCAGUGGGAAGUGGGGUCAUUAUUAUUUUUUCUUUAUAUUUUUCUGCAUUUUAGAACAUUUAUAAUGAAUGCUGUUACCUUAUUUAAAAAGUUAAAAUUAUUCUAUUUUGAUAGAAAAUUUUCACUACCUGUCAUUUUGUUUUACAACAGUCAACUGAACUGUACCUUGAUGUCCUUUAGAGAUUACAAAAAUUGCCCCAAACAGUCAACCCCUUAGAAAGGUGUCAAAAAACAGACAAAUACAGAGGGAAAGUCAAACAGUCAGAUUUAACCCCAGGCCUCCCAUGUAUUUGGGACUGUGUCACGAUGGGUGAUCAUUAAUGCUCAGGAGCCCUGCUCCAUUGUGGAACAGCUGUAACAAUGUCAGACCAAUCUGGUUCAACUUUUAUGUAACCAAGCUGUGAGUUGCUUUUCGGUUGCCAUGGACUCUCAGGUUAAAGGUCACAAAACCUGGGCAUCCCUAGAUGAUCCAAGCAUGCAACCAUGGUCAGAACCUAAGCACUGGGACCAAGGAAUGGGACAGAAUUAAGUGGACAUUACAUGGCAGGAUCCAGAAUCCAAUAAGAUGGAGCUCUGGCAUCACCCCAUGACGGGAUCCAAUCAGAUUGUGCCUCCCAGCAUCACCUCAUCUCAAAAUCCAAUCAGAUUGGACCUCAUUAUCCUAUGCUCAUAAAAUGCAACCCAGGCCUCAGCUUUGGGAGAUAGAUUUGAGCAUAUCUUCCUGUCUCCUUGUCAGUCAAUUCACAAUUAACCUUGCUUGCUAUAAAAACCUAGUGCUUUGGUGUUUGGCUUUCUGUUGUGAACAGGCAAAUGGACCCAGUUUGGUUCGGUGACAGGGCUUAGCCUGGAGAAGCCACAGACAUCUCACACAUGGAGCUGGUUCUUUAGCAACAAAGACUAUUCGAAUGUGUUACAACUGCCCAACCCAAAGAAAACAGAAUACCACGUCCAUGAAAAACGGUUUAGUGAUUCCAGGAUAUUGUGUUAUUAUCCUGAAUUUGGUAAAGUAGAGGAAAUCAUCUUGACAGCCAUGAAACAUGAUUGAUAAGAGGUGUGAAAGAGCCCACUGAUAUUGACAGCC
Molecule: long non-coding RNA, 2996 nt
Organism: Symphalangus syndactylus (siamang)
Lineage: Eukaryota; Metazoa; Chordata; Mammalia; Primates; Hylobatidae
Source: RefSeq, a predicted model, not a curated record